GACGAACGCUGGCGGCGUGCUUAACACAUGCAAGUCGAGCGAGGCCCUUCCUUCGGGAAGGUGCCCUAGCGGCGAACGGGUGAGUAACACGUGGGCAACCUGCCCCUAGCACUGGGAUAACUCCGGGAAACCGGGGCUAAUACCGGAUAUGACCUUUGAGGGCAUCCUCUUUGGUGUAAAGGAUUCUGGCUAGGGAUGGGCCCGCGGCCUAUCAGCUUGUUGGUGGGGUAACGGCCUACCAAGGCGACGACGGGUAGCCGGCCUGAGAGGGCGACCGGCCACACUGGGACUGAGACACGGCCCAGACUCCUACGGGAGGCAGCAGUGGGGAAUAUUGCACAAUGGGCGAAAGCCUGAUGCAGCGACGCCGCGUGAGGGAUGACUGCCUUCGGGUUGUAAACCUCUGUCACC
This 411-nucleotide ribosomal RNA is filed under the name uncultured bacterium. RNAcentral describes it as "bacterial SSU rRNA". It matches the Rfam family "Bacterial small subunit ribosomal RNA", at positions 28 to 440 of the family's 1533-position model. The record is from RNAcentral.